UAGAAAUUAGAAUUUGGCUUACCCAGAGCUUUGAUUUGAGUAUAAUCAUGCCUAGGUUC
Molecule: small RNA, 59 nt
Filed under: Caenorhabditis elegans
Lineage: Eukaryota; Metazoa; Nematoda; Chromadorea; Rhabditida; Rhabditidae
Description: Unclassified non-coding RNA F11A6.8
Source: RNAcentral